This 789-nucleotide ribosomal RNA is filed under the name Triticum aestivum (bread wheat). RNAcentral describes it as "partial small subunit ribosomal RNA". Lineage: Eukaryota; Viridiplantae; Streptophyta; Magnoliopsida; Poales; Poaceae. The record is from RNAcentral.
AUGUCCAGAUCCGAAGGUCAAGGCAAGUGGAUGGCCUCCUCCGUCAAGGAGAAGGAUAUUACUGAGCUUCGGGCGGCCGGGUAUCUGCCGAAGGAAGUCGCCCACCGUCUUCCAGCCAAGGGGCAAGUCAUCCCUACACCGAAGCCCAACGAGAGGGUGGUAUUCAUCCCUCAUUUCAUCCGCGGGCUAGGGUUUCCACUCCACCCUUUCAUCCGCAGGCUGAUGUUAUAUUACGGGCUAGACUUUCAUGAUCUAGCCCCGAACUCUUUCCUCAACAUCUCGGCAUUCAUUGUCGUGUGCGAGGCUUUCCUCCACAUCCAACCCCACUUCGGACUAUGGCUCAAGGUCUUUAACGUGAAGCUGAAGGUGGUGGAUGGCCAGCACGCAGAGUGCGGAGGCGCCAUGGUGAGCAAGAUGCCCAAUGCCAUCUGGCCAAAAGGUACUUUCAUGGAGACUGUCAAGGAGUGGCAGAAACUGUGGUUCUACAUCACAGAGCCCCGCGGCGCCACCUGGGCCGCGACUGCCGAAUUCAACUCUGGAGCUCUGAUACGGCUCACUUCCUGGAUUGAGAAGGGCCAAAAUUGGUCUUCGUCAGACGAGCUGAUAGUGCUGCAAACGCGCGUUCAAAGCAUGGUGGACAAAGAUAUCAAGCUCGUCGACAUAAUCCAGGUGAUGCUAGUUCACCGGAUUCUCCGGUGCCAAAGCCGAAGCCGCCCUUUAUGUGAAUUAAAUCGGAAGAAGCACCAAACUCUAGAAAGGCUCUUCAGAACCACUCACGAAGACACCUAG